UUUGUAAUGGGGGGAAAUCGAACCCGGGGCGCCCGCGUGGCAGGCGAGCAUUCUACCACUGAACCAAAAGCAA
Cordylochernes scorpioides is the source of this 73-nucleotide non-coding RNA. The record is from the annotation of a GenBank genome assembly. NCBI's taxonomy places the organism in Eukaryota, Metazoa, Arthropoda, Arachnida, Pseudoscorpiones, Chernetidae.